GGGUUGUGAGGUUAAGCGAAUAAGCGUACACGGUGGAUGCCUAGGCAAUCAGAGGCGAUGAAGGACGUGCUAAUCUGCGAAAAGCGUCGGUAAGGUGAUAUGAACCGUUAUACCCGACGAUAUCCGAAUGGGGAAACCCAGUAUCCAAUGGAUACUAUCAUUAACUGAAUCCAUAGGUUAAUGAGGCGAACCGGGAGAACUGAAACAUCUCAGUACCCCGAGGAAAAGAAAUCAACCGAGAUUCCCCUAGUAGCGGCGAGCGAACGGGGAGCAGCCCAGAGUCUUAAUCAAUAGCAGUGUCAGGAGAACGGUCUGGAAAGUCCGGCAGUAAAGGGUGAUAGCCCCGUAUCUGAAGAUGCUGUUAUUGUGAACUCGACGAGUAGGGCGGGACACGUGUUAUCCUGUCUGAAUAUGGGGGGACCAUCCUCCAAGGCUAAAUACUCCUGAUUGACCGAUAGUGAACCAGUACCGUGAGGGAAAGGCGAAAAGAACCCCGGCGAGGGGAGUGAAAAAGAACCUGAAACCGUGUACGUACAAGCAGUAGGAGCCUCUUUAUGGGGUGACUGCGUACCUUUUGUAUAAUGGGUCAGCGACUUAUAUUCUGUAGCGAGGUUAACCGUAUAGGGGAGCCGUAGGGAAACCGAGUCUUAACUGGGCGAAUGAGUUGCAGGGUAUAGACCCGAAACCCGGUGAUCUAUCCAUGGGCAGGUUGAAGGUUGGGUAACACUAACUGGAGGACCGAACCGACUAAUGUUGAAAAAUUAGCGGAUGACUUGUGGAUGGGGGUGAAAGGCCAAUCAAACCGGGAGAUAGCUGGUUCUCCCCGAAAGCUAUUUAGGUAGCGCCUCGUGAAUUCAUCUUCGGGGGUAGAGCACUGUUUCGACUAGGGGGUCAUCCCGACUUACCAACUCGAUGCAAACUGCGAAUACCGAAGAAUGUUAUCACGGGAGACACACGGCGGGUGCUAACGUCCGUCGUGAAGAGGGAAACAACCCAGACCGCCAGCUAAGGUCCCAAAGUCAUGGUUAAGUGGGAAACGAAGUGGGAAGGCUCAGACAGCCAGGAUGUUGGCUUAGAAGCAGCCAUCAUUUAAAGAAAGCGUAAUAGCUCACUGGUCGAGUCGGCCCGCGCGGAAGAUGUAACGGGGCUAAACCAUGCACCGAAGCUGCGGCAGCGACACGUAGUGUUGUUGGGUAGGGGAGCGUUCUGUAAGCCUGCGAAGGUGUACUGUGAGGUAUGCUGGAGGUAUCAGAAGUGCGAAUGCUGACAUAAGUAACGAUAAUGCGGGUGAAAAACCCGCACGCCGGAAGACCAAGGGUUCCUGUCCAACGUUAAUCGGGGCAGGGUGAGUCGACCCCUAAGGCGAGGCUGAAAAGCGUAGUCGAUGGGAAACGGGUUAAUAUUCCCGUACUGGUGGUAACUGCGAUGGGGGAACGGAGAAGGCUAGGUUGUCCGGGCGACGGUCGUCCCGGUUCAAGCAGGUAGGCAGAGUGAUUAGGCAAAUCCGGUCACUUAAUGCUGAGAUGUGAUGACGAACCACUAAGGUGGUGAAGCAAUUGAUGCCCCGCUUCCAGGAAAAGCCUCUAAGCUUCAGGUUACCAACAAUCGUACCCCAAACCGACACAGGUGGUCAGGUAGAGAAUACUCAGGCGCUUGAGAGAACUCGGGUGAAGGAACUAGGCAAAAUGGUGCCGUAACUUCGGGAGAAGGCACGCUGGCGGUAGGUAAAGUCCCUUGCGGACGGCGCUGAAGCCAGUCGAAGAUACCAGCUGGCUGCAACUGUUUAUUAAAAACACAGCACUGUGCAAACACGAAAGUGGACGUAUACGGUGUGACGCCUGCCCGGUGCUGGAAGGUUAAUUGAUGGGGUUAGCCGUAAGGCGAAGCUCCUGAUCGAAGCCCCAGUAAACGGCGGCCGUAACUAUAACGGUCCUAAGGUAGCGAAAUUCCUUGUCGGGUAAGUUCCGACCUGCACGAAUGGCGUAAUGAUGGCCAGGCUGUCUCCACCCGAGACUCAGUGAAAUUGAACUCGCUGUGAAGAUGCAGUGUACCCGCGGCAAGACGGAAAGACCCCGUGAACCUUUACUAUAGCUUGACACUGAACAUUGAGCCUUGAUGUGUAGGAUAGGUGGGAGGCUUUGAAGUGUGGACGCCAGUCUGCAUGGAGCCAACCUUGAAAUACCACCCUUUAACGUUUGAUGUUCUAACCUAGGCCCAUAAACUGGGUCGGGGACCGUGUCUGGUGGGUAGUUUGACUGGGGCGGUCUCCUCCUAAAGAGUAACGGAGGAGCACGAAGGUUGGCUAAGCAUGGUCGGACAUCAUGCGGUUAGUGCAAAGGCAUAAGCCAGCUUGACUGCGAGAGUGACGGCUCGAGCAGGUACGAAAGUAGGUCUUAGUGAUCCGGUGGUUCUGAAUGGAAGGGCCAUCGCUCAACGGAUAAAAGGUACUCCGGGGAUAACAGGCUGAUACCGCCCAAGAGUUCAUAUCGACGGCGGUGUUUGGCACCUCGAUGUCGGCUCAUCACAUCCUGGGGCUGAAGUAGGUCCCAAGGGUAUGGCUGUUCGCCAUUUAAAGUGGUACGCGAGCUGGGUUUAGAACGUCGUGAGACAGUUCGGUCCCUAUCUGCCGUGGGCGUUGGAAGAUUGAGAGGGGUUGCUCCUAGUACGAGAGGACCGGAGUGAACGCACCACUGGUGUUCGGGUUGUCAUGCCAAUGGCAUUGCCCGGUAGCUAAGUGCGGAAGAGAUAACCGCUGAAAGCAUCUAAGCGGGAAACUUGCCUCGAGAUGAGUCUUCCCUGUCGCUUUAAGCGACCUAAAGGAACGUUUAAGACUAAGACGUUGAUAGGCUGGGUGUGUAAGCGUAGCGAUACGUUGAGCUAACCAGUACUAAUGAACCGUGAGGCUUAACCUGACAACACCGAAAGUGUUUUG
This 2932-nucleotide ribosomal RNA is filed under the name Proteus mirabilis. Its description in RNAcentral is "bacterial LSU rRNA". It matches the Rfam family "Bacterial large subunit ribosomal RNA". The record is from RNAcentral. Lineage: Bacteria; Pseudomonadati; Pseudomonadota; Gammaproteobacteria; Enterobacterales; Morganellaceae.